UACGUAGGGGGCAAGCGUUGUCCGGAAUCAUUGGGCGUAAAGAGCGUGUAGGCGGCCUGGUAGGUCAGCUGUGAAAACUCGAGGCUCAACCUCGAGACGCCGGUUGAAACCAUCAGGCUAGAGUCCGGAAGAGGAGAGUGGAAUUCCCGGUGUAGCGGUGAAAUGCGCAGAUAUCGGGAAGAACACCCGUGGCUAAGGCGGCUCUCUAGUACGGUACUGACGCUGAGACGCGAAAGCGUGGGGAGCGAACAGG
RNAcentral lists this ribosomal RNA (253 nucleotides) under uncultured bacterium. RNAcentral's name for it is "partial 16S ribosomal RNA". It matches the Rfam family "Bacterial small subunit ribosomal RNA", at positions 524 to 776 of the family's 1533-position model. The record is from RNAcentral.